AUUGAGCGCUGGCGGCAUGCCUUACACAUGCAAGUCGAACGGCAGCACGGGUGCUUGCACCUGGUGGCGAGUGGCGAACGGGUGAGUAAUACAUCGGAACAUGUCCUGUAGUGGGGGAUAGCCCGGCGAAAGCCGGAUUAAUACCGCAUACGAUCUACGGAUGAAAGCGGGGGACCUUCGGGCCUCGCGCUAUAGGGUUGGCCGAUGGCUGAUUAGCUAGUUGGUGGGGUAAAGGCCUACCAAGGCGACGAUCAGUAGCUGGUCUGAGAGGACGACCAGCCACACUGGGACUGAGACCCGGCCCAGACCCCUAGGGGAGGCAGCAGUGGGGAAUUUUGGACAAGGGGCGAAAGCCUUACCCAGCAAUGCCGGGGGUGUGAAGAAGGCCUUCGGUUUGUAAAGCCCUUUUGUCCGGAAAGAAAUCCUUGGCUCUAAUACGGUCGGGGGAUGACGGUCCCGGAAGAAUAAGCACCGGCUAACUACGU
This 485-nucleotide ribosomal RNA is filed under the name uncultured bacterium. Its description in RNAcentral is "partial 16S ribosomal RNA". It matches the Rfam family "Bacterial small subunit ribosomal RNA", at positions 30 to 506 of the family's 1533-position model. The record is from RNAcentral.